AGUGACGGUUAACGGGGGAUUAGGGUUCAAUUCCGGAGAGGGAGCCUGAGAAACGGCUACCACAUCUAAGGAAGGCAGCAGGCGCGCAAAUUACCCAAUUCUAACAGCAUAAGAGAGGUAGUGACAAGAAAUAACAGUACAAGGCAGUUAAAAUGCUUUGUAAUUGGAAUGAUAGAAAUUUAAAUACUUUUUAAAGUAUCAAUUGGAGGGCAAGUCUGGUGCCAGCAGCCGCGGUAAUUCCAGCUCCAAUAGCGUAUAUUAAAAUUGUUGCAGUUAAAAAGCUCGUAGUUGAAUUUUUGCUAAAAAUAACCGGUCUGCUUUUAUUAAUAAAAGUGGUAUCUUGGUGUGUUUUUAGCAAUAAUGUCCUUUGAAAUGUUUUUUACUUUAUUGUAAAAAGCAAUUUUCAGGAUUUUUACUUUGAGAAAAUUAGAGUGUUUCAAGCAGGCUAACGUUUUGAAUACUGCAGCAUGGAAUAAUAAAAUAGGAUUUUAGUUCUACGUUAUUGGUUUUAAGAACUAAAUUAAUGAUUGAUAGGAGCAGUUGGGGGCAUUUGUAUUUAACUGUCAGAG
RNAcentral lists this ribosomal RNA (569 nucleotides) under Hepatozoon sp. RNAcentral's name for it is "SSU rRNA". It matches the Rfam family "Eukaryotic small subunit ribosomal RNA", at positions 351 to 910 of the family's 1831-position model. The record is from RNAcentral. Lineage: Eukaryota; Apicomplexa; Hepatozoidae.